RNAcentral lists this long non-coding RNA (1299 nucleotides) under Mus musculus (house mouse). RNAcentral describes it as "predicted gene, 57107". The record is from RNAcentral. Lineage: Eukaryota; Metazoa; Chordata; Mammalia; Rodentia; Muridae.
GAGGCCACGGUACUGGGCGGUGGAGGCUGCAGCUACCUUUGCAGGCUUGCCUCUAGGACGCCUCGCGCUGCCGAGGUCGGGGGCGGCGCCCUGCUACCGCUGGGCCUUCGGCGAUUCCACGCAGGUGAGCACCCACAGCCACUCCGCGGGGAAGGAUACCCCUUUUCCCAGCUCCAGCUCCCCUGAACAGUUUGAGGAGGAGUCUCUGUUAGUGCGCCUUGGGAAACAGCCUCUUCUGGUCUGGAUGUAUCUCUGCGGGGCGCGGAAUUCGUUGCCCCUCGCCUUUGCUGUGCCCUGUGCCCUUGGGGAUGAGGAUGGGGGUCGAUGCCCGUUUUGCAGGGAGGGCGUGGAGUUCGCCCUCAGCUCCAUCCUCUCUCUGGGAGGGGGCAGCCGGGUGGACUGCGCCCCCUCAUCCUCUCCAGGAGAGUCAGAGCAAAAGCGCCUCUGGGCUUGGGGGCCAACUCUGCUUCUUUGGGCGAGCGCUGGUGAGAGGCUGAAGUCUUCGAUCUUCCCGGGGGUCUUCCUCCUUCCCGCAUGCCUCUUUUCGCCCUUGGUUACUAUCGCCAGCUCUGCAUUCCUUCAACUGUCAGGCUGUACCAGAGAUGCCCCCAUCUCCGCAGUGCUGGGGCGGUGGGGUGGAAGGAAUGGCCAGCCGAGGGCCUGGUUGGGGGUGGGGAUGAGGGUGGGCGCAACAGGAAAAGAGGUUCGUAAUAGAGAUUACUGAACUGGGGUGGGGGUGGGAAUGAUAGGGUUGAUUAGUGAACACAGUAGGGGUAUUUCCCAGCACGGGUGUUGAGGGUUUUAUGAUUGGUAGGAAGGGAGGUUGGCCUGGAGGACUUGGAAAUAUGUUGUAGGUGGUUUCUCUGAGAAGGAGGAGGGAUCUAGCACUAAGUGCCACUAGGUGCUGAUGUCACCUUUGAGGAGAGAUGUGUUGGAGAGGAGGAGAGUUGAGGCAGCUCCUCAGUACUUGUUCGUGGAGAGCAAGUGGUUAAGGGGGCUGUGCUUAGCCUGAUGAGUCCCUCCUGGUGUGAGCUUAAGAAGGCUGUUCCAGGAGCCAGGUUUCAGGGACUCCCUGCAGUCCUUUCCAGACUUGUUGGAAUUGGCUCUUAGUACUUUAUUCAAUAUUGAGUAAACAUUUAUUGGGCACCUACUACAUGCCAGACACCAUACUAGAGAGAUAGAUACUUGCCUAUCCAAAAGCUGUUAAAGGCCAUGGAGCAGGUAGAUGGUACCCGAAAUAGGCACACAUUCCCCUAUAUACAUUUUAGUUAUCCUGUUAGUGGAAUGGCAGAAACAAAA